This 206-nucleotide long non-coding RNA is filed under the name Homo sapiens (human). Its description in RNAcentral is "non-protein coding lnc-LINC02203-20:2". Lineage: Eukaryota; Metazoa; Chordata; Mammalia; Primates; Hominidae. The record is from RNAcentral.
CUGAGAAGCAGGCCCGGGCACUCUGCUCUCCUGUCCUGCGGAGUUUCAGGCAAUGAAGUGAGCAUAAGUCCAGGUCAUCGAUUGGUGAUUGAUCUUCUGGUGGGCAGCCUGAUGGCUGAUGGAGGGUUGGAGUCAGCCUUACACGCAGCCAUUACUGCAGAGAUCCAGGAUACAAAAAAAGAAGCACGGAAGGAAAAAGAAAUUUA